GGUUUCAUAGGUGUGUGCGUAUGUCAAAACUUACGAAACUGUACAUUUUAAAUAUGUGUGUUUAUUGUAUGCCAACUUAUCUCAAUAAAACUGUUAGACACACACACACACACAAAGUCAAUGGCCCCAAAAUCCCCUGUUGAAACUCUCACUGAUAUAAUUUUAUGAUCAUCUUUCUAGACAUUUGCACAACAGAGGUCAUAUUAUACACUCUUCUACAACUUACGCUUUCCAUUCGGACAUUUUUUCAUGCAGGAACACACAAAGCUACCUCAUUCCUUUAAAUGGCUUCCUUGUCAUCCAGUAGGUGAAUGUUUUGUGAUAUUUAAUGUGUCCUCUUUUUGUGGACAUUUAGGUGACUUCCACUUUUUGCUGGAGAAUUUUUUUAAUCAAUACAGUUAUUUCCAGAGUUAUGAGCACCUGACUUAGGAGCCUCCUGCUCACGCAAACAGCCCGUUGCUGGUACUUUCUCUGGUUGUAUCCUCUCUCCUUACCCCCCAGCCAGCAACCAGGCUGUUCUGGCCUACUUGCUCCACCUGGUGGGCAGUGUAGGAAACUGCCAACCUUGAUUAUUUUUUCCACACAAGUGAGUCUCCCUGACUUCUGCCAGCCCUUCUCAACCAUCUGGCCCCUGGAUGCCAGAGAGAACUUUCUAAACACAAAUCUGAUCUUCUCACUCUCCUCAUGAAAACUCACCAUCUAAAAUAAACCUCAAGCCCCUUAUCAGAGCAUACAAAGUAUUAAUACUCUGGUCCUUCCCCAGCUCUCCAGUCUCAAUUUUGGUAACUUCCCUCCUUUGUAGUUCAGUCCAUAACCAAUUGUGUUUCUCUAAACACAUAGCACUGCUUCAUACAUCCAUAUCUUUGUACCUGCCAGUUGUUCUCCCUGGAGUGUCAGUCUGCCCUCUCCUAUUCCAUGUUGGCCUGGUAAACUCCUACUCAGCCUUCAAAACCCUACUUAAGAGUCCCCACUUCUCUGCAGUCUUAUCUGUUCCCUCCCACAUGGAGUUAAUCACUUCUUUCUACCCAUGCCUGGCAUAUACAUCCAAUACCACACCUAUAACAUUUGAUUAUAAUUACCUGUCUAUAUGUUUGUCUCCUGCACUGAAUUAGCUCCCUCACUAAACUUGGUCAUUGUUGUCUCCCAGAAUCUUCCACGGUACCCAAAAAAUAGGAAAGUGAGGCCUAAUAAGCAGACACUGAAAUAAAAUGAACUGCAGUCCCAAGGGAAUGGUGCCGACUGCUUCUUCUUUUUCUCAUGCGUGUAGGGCCUGCCAAAGUUAGGGUGCUGUUGGUCAAGACACAAAGUCGAGAUGCUGAGACCUCUCAAAGGGACUAUCCGCUUUUUAAUCUUUCUCAAAUACAUUGUCCAGUGAUAUCCACCGCUUGGUGAAGGCUGAAGACUAUUUGAACUAUCUUCAACCUGGCAUUCCUCAUUCACUGGUUGGAGAACAAACAACAGUCUGUUUGCUGAAUGAAUUUUCGGGUUUGGUUUGUAGCUUACACCUUGUCCCUUUGGAGACCACAAGGAAACUGUUCCUGCAAAUGGAGUUUCCUGACUUUUUCUUACUUCUCCAGGAGAGAAAUUGUGGGACCAUCAUGACCUUCCUUUGUUUCAUUUGGGAUCUGAAGGAAAAUAUCUCAUCCUUUUGCUCAUUCGUUC
This is a long non-coding RNA of Equus caballus (horse), 1662 nucleotides long. The record is from Ensembl. Lineage: Eukaryota; Metazoa; Chordata; Mammalia; Perissodactyla; Equidae.